CAUUUCCGACGUUUGGUAAGCCAAAGAAAUAGGAAACACGGAGAAAUCAGAUUUCUCAGGAAAUGAGUUUGUUCGUGACUUCAUUUCCACCCAAUUUGUAAAGAAAUGGAAGUUCAAUACAAACAUUUCUCCGUGUCCAUAUCUAAGAAAUGUGUCAAUAAUUGAAAAUUGAAGAUAUAAAUAUGCAAGCACGUGCAAGUCACAUUCCUUGUGAGAAAAGAACAAACUCUACCUCUCUUUUUUCUUUUCUUUUUCUCUGGCGAUUUUUGGCAAAAAGUGCCCUUUCCACUCUCUUGCUUUAAUCGGCCAUCAAGUAAAGAUUUGCUUUCUAGUUUGGAUCUUCACUUGUGAGCUUCUAUCCAUGAAUGUCAGAUGCAACCACAGUUAAAGGUCAGUUGAGAAGCAACAGAAUUUGGUUACCAGAUAAGAUGAAAAGAUAAUGGAUGCAUUAAACGAGUUACACAUAACAGGAAAGUAUUCCACGGAUAAUGAAUUCAAACUCGGCUAUCAUCAAGCGUUUUAGGAUCUGUGUAUUUUUUUUUUUUGGUAAUCCAUUUGUGUUUAUCUAUUUUCGAGACUUUGUUUUUGUUUCCACUUUCAUUUGUUAAAGUUAAGUUAAACAUAUAGAAUGGUUAUAAAAAACAA
Long non-coding RNA from Erigeron canadensis, 645 nucleotides. RefSeq lists it as uncharacterized. The record is from RefSeq and is a predicted model, not a curated record. The transcript is spliced from 2 exons. NCBI's taxonomy places the organism in Eukaryota, Viridiplantae, Streptophyta, Magnoliopsida, Asterales, Asteraceae.